Long non-coding RNA from Gossypium raimondii (Peruvian cotton), 618 nucleotides. RefSeq lists it as uncharacterized. The record is from RefSeq and is a predicted model, not a curated record. Lineage: Eukaryota; Viridiplantae; Streptophyta; Magnoliopsida; Malvales; Malvaceae. The transcript is spliced from 2 exons.
GGGUAAAAAAAAAGGCCCGUUUAGAAAACGGGUCGGGCCUCGGGCAAAAUUUUUUGGGCCCGGCCCGGCCCGGAUAUAAUUAAUAUUUUUUUUAUUUUUAAAAUUUAUUAUUACAUUUCCCGUUUCCCAUUUCCCAUUUCUCGUGUAUCUGAUAAAUCCCUAACCCAUCCCCUCCUCCAUUUUUUUCCCCAAAUCGAAAAAUCACCUCCACCGAUCCACCAUUCCACCUCCGGUGUCCGGUCCUCCACGACUAUUAAAGUCCUUUCUUGUAAUAAUCUGGCUAUUGAGAGAAACAAGCUAUUGAGGCCGAAAAACAGCAGGCCCAGUCAGGUUGCUAUCACUUAGAGGUUGCUACCACACCCUUUCCUUCGAAACAAUCAAACUCAGAUCUUUUCAUAAAUGAUGUGUGUUUUUUUAGUAUUACUUAAAGACAUGUGACAAGUUUGAUCUUGUAUCACAAGGCUAGCAUAGUUAAAUAACUAGUUUAUAUCCUUUUACCAAAACUCAGAUCUUUGCUCAUUCCAUUAUGCUUACAAGUUACAACUAAACUUUAAUCUUUAUAUCCUUUUACCAAAAUGAUUAAAUUUUAGUUUCUAUACUUUAUUUUUUAACAUAAAA